This 221-nucleotide long non-coding RNA is filed under the name Vigna radiata. RNAcentral describes it as "long non-coding RNA (VRAD_LNC008569)". The record is from RNAcentral. Lineage: Eukaryota; Viridiplantae; Streptophyta; Magnoliopsida; Fabales; Fabaceae.
GGGCUUGGACUUUUUAUUUGAUUUAUUUAAGGACUUAGGCACUCUAGGGAUUGUAUCUUUUAACGGAAUAGAUGAAAAUUCACACUUUUCGACUCUUUGGAGGCAAGAUUGGAUGCAGGAGCACUCCUCUUCGGUUUUUAGGGUUUAUCUUUCAUUAUAUUGCCAUUGUACAUCUAGUUUCUCCAUGACAAUGGAGAACUAAUUUUUAUUUGUUGUUGGGG